GAUGAACGCUGGCGGCGUGCCUAAUACAUGCAAGUCGAGCGAACAGACGAGGAGCUUGCUCCUCUGACGUUAGCGGCGGACGGGUGAGUAACACGUGGAUAACCUACCUAUAAGACUGGGAUAACUUCGGGAAAACGGAGCUAAUACCGGAUAAUAUAUUGAACCGCAUGGUUCAAUAGUGAAAGACGGUUUUGCUGUCACUUAUAGAUGGAUCCGCGCCGCAUUAGCUAGUUGGUAAGGUAACGGCUUACCAAGGCAACGAUGCGUAGCCGACCUGAGAGGGUGAUCGGCCACACUGGAACUGAGACACGGUCCAGACUCCUACGGGAGGCAGCAGUAGGGAAUCUUCCGCAAUGGGCGAAAGCCUGACGGAGCAACGCCGCGUGAGUGAUGAAGGUCUUCGGAUCGUAAAACUCUGUUAUUAGGGUAGAACAAAUGUGUAAUUAACUAUGCACGUCUUGACGGUACCUAAUCAGAAAGCCACGGCUAACUACGUG
This 497-nucleotide ribosomal RNA is filed under the name uncultured bacterium. Its description in RNAcentral is "partial 16S ribosomal RNA". It matches the Rfam family "Bacterial small subunit ribosomal RNA", at positions 28 to 507 of the family's 1533-position model. The record is from RNAcentral.